CUGAGCCCAGGCUCCUAGCCAGCCCUGCCAAGGUGCCAGACACGUCAGUGAGGCCUCCUGGAAUCCUCCAGUAACAGGACUUUGAAUAUUAAUUGGAUAUACAGAGGCACAGACUGAAGACUACACUUUCCAGCCUCCCAUGCAGCUGGAUGGAGCCAUACAACCAAGUUUCGGCCAAAGGAAAGAACGUGGCUCAGAUGGAUGUGCCAGAGGAAAUGCACCAGGAAAUCCCGAGCAGGGUGCAAUCAGUCACCAUUAAUGCUCACAAGUAUCAAAGCUACUUGAAGAAAUACAGCUACUUAUGGAUGGAUGAUAAAAUUGAAUUCACGAAGCAGUUCCUUCUCCAUGAGUGAUUUCUUAGUGCUGAAAAACUAGAAUUGCAUGUGGACUAUGAGUGUCAGAACUCCACACUGCAGUUAGCACACUUUACAGAACACGUAUUGAAUUUUAGCUGAGUCUAGCAUCAUCUUUUUCAACUCCCAGGACAGCUGUUAAAUCAUAAAAUAUUUUGAGAUAUAAAGCUCUUGCCUCUGAGA
Molecule: long non-coding RNA, 536 nt
Filed under: Homo sapiens (human)
Lineage: Eukaryota; Metazoa; Chordata; Mammalia; Primates; Hominidae
Description: HSALNT0307251
Source: RNAcentral